Esox lucius (northern pike) is the source of this 1250-nucleotide long non-coding RNA. Lineage: Eukaryota; Metazoa; Chordata; Actinopteri; Esociformes; Esocidae. The record is from Ensembl.
UCCAUAUGCAUGCAGGAUUGGGCUGUAGGACUGCUCAUCUAGAUGAAAGCACAACACAUGAAGAGUUAUGUGAAGCCCUCAAAGUUUUAUUUCCAAAAUUGGGGGCUGUGACCGGUGGGUGGCUGCUAUACAAAUCUGCAGGUGGAUGGGGUAGCCGAAAACUCUCUCGUGGCUCCUGAUGAGACUGGCUAUACAGUUAUAAAUCCACCAACUUUUGCAGCUCUUAGAAUUUGAGUCAACGAGAGAAGCUUGCAAUGCAAUGCAAUGGAUGUAGUGUUCCUUACCUAGCAAGCUUCUGGACCAUGGUUCUGCCUUCGACUUCCUUCUUUUGGAGAUUGGAAACCCAAAUUGACAUACACAGACAGAUUUAUGGUCCGAUCUCACAUUGAACCUUGAGGCUUGUACAGUCAUUUACCCUCAAAAAACAGUGAGGGACCUAGGGUGUUACUCUACAACCUGAUCCUUUUUUUUUGUAAAACAUUUAAAUGUACUUCAAAAGCAUCUAUUUUCAAUAUUGCAAAACAUUUCAAAAAAUCUGAAACUUUAAAAAACAAUGCAGAAUGAGAUAGUCUUAGUGUUUCUUAUUUUAAGAUUAGACUUUUGUAAUUUUCUUCACACAACCCUGAUAAGACAAUAAAUUAGUAUUAAUUAGUGCUAAAUGCAGUCACUAGAAUCUGAACUGGAACCAAAAAAUAUCACAAUACUCCAAUACUAGCCUCUCUACACAGACUAGGUCUAACUUUAAGGGGUUACUGUUGCAAGCUGCAAAUUAUUACAUGGUCUCGCUCCUACUUACCUGUCUGAAUUGGUCCUGCCGUACAUACUUAUACAUAUGCUGCAGUGUCAAGAUGCAGGCCUCUUUACUCCUGAAUGACUCAAGCUUUAGACCUCCAUUAUUGUGGAAUGAUCUACCUACAAUAAUUAAUACAAAGUGUUUACUGAAGAUUCAUAUCAUCAGUAGGGUCUAUAACUAAUUGUAAUAUUGGUCAGGGUUCACUGGCAUGCUUGUAGUAUACCCAGGUUUUUUCCUGGCUCAGAAUGGGCCUUUGGGUGUGACUACGCACGACAGUAAGCAUGAUGGAUCCACGUACAGUAAAGGCAAUGAGUUACCUUAUGACAGAAAUCUAUGCAUUUUCUUAUUUCUGACCAUUUGAUAAAUAGAAAUGUCUAUCAUGCUUGAAUAAAUGAAACCCCAUUAACAAAACUGGUUAAAAAAUACAUGUAUUACAACAUUGGAAGGGGGAGAGGGG